AUUAGCCCAUGGUAAACCGUAAACAAAUCUAAUGAAGACUAAUUUCUCACAUGGUCCAUACCAGUUCAUCACUUGUAGAAGAUAAAAACUAGAGAUUUUAUGUUCGUUAAGUAUCCUUAAAAGAAACAAAGGGCGGAAACGAAAUAUGCAUAGCUGCAGUUGCACAUUAAAUAAAUUUCAUUUCAAUAAAAAGCAAUAAUAACAUAGAUAAUCUUAGAAUCUUAAGAUUCAACACCCAUGCCCAAACAAGGAUAUUUCAUCAAUAAUAGAGGAGGUUACUACAAAACUAAAAAGAGCUUCAACGUCAUAUCAUUUGUUUUGCAUAGAUUUCUGAUUCAUACAUAAGUUAUCUCAGCACUUAACUAUACGCUCUAAAUUUAAGUUAUUUUUGUUUUUAAUUCUACUUUUAUCAAUUCCAAUCCAUAACAGCUAUAAUAUA
This 439-nucleotide unclassified non-coding RNA is filed under the name Hevea brasiliensis (rubber tree). The record is from RNAcentral. Lineage: Eukaryota; Viridiplantae; Streptophyta; Magnoliopsida; Malpighiales; Euphorbiaceae.